RNAcentral lists this ribosomal RNA (861 nucleotides) under uncultured Gemella sp. Its description in RNAcentral is "bacterial SSU rRNA". It matches the Rfam family "Bacterial small subunit ribosomal RNA", at positions 28 to 870 of the family's 1533-position model. The record is from RNAcentral. Lineage: Bacteria; Bacillati; Bacillota; Bacilli; Caryophanales; Gemellaceae.
GACGAACGCUGGCGGCGUGCCUAAUACAUGCAAGUCGAGCGAAGUUUUUCUGGUGCUUGCACUAGAAAAACUUAGCGGCGAACGGGUGCGUAACACGUAAAGAACCUGCCUCAUAGACUGGGACAACUAUUGGAAACGAUAGCUAAUACCGGAUAACAGCAUUAACUGCAUGGUUGAUGUUUAAAAGUUGGUUUUGCUAACACUAUGAGGUGGCUUUGCGGUGCAUUAGCUAGUUGGUGGGGUAAAGGCCUACCAAGGCGACGAUGCAUAGCCGACCUGAGAGGGUGGUCGGCCACACUGGGACUGAGACACGGCCCAGACUCCUACGGGAGGCAGCAGUAGGGAAUCUUCCGCAAUGGGCGAAAGCCUGACGGAGCAACGCCGCGUGAGUGAAGAAGGAUUUCGGUUCGUAAAGCUCUGUUGUUAGGGAAGAAUGAUUGUGUAGUAACUAUACACAGUAGAGACGGUACCUAACCCGAAAGCCACGGCUAACUACGUGCCAGCAGCCGCGGUAAUACGUAGGUGGCAAGCGUUGUCCGGAGUUAUUGGGCGUAAAGCGCGCCCAGGUGGUUUAAUAAGUCUGAUGUGAAAGCCCACGGCUCAACCGUGGAGGGUCAUUGGAAACUGUUAAACUUGAGUGCAGGAGAGAAAAGUGGAAUUCCUAGUGUAGCGGUGAAAUGCGUAGAGAUUAGGAGGAACACCAGUGGCGAAGGCGGCUUUUUGGCCUGUAACUGACACUGAGGCGCGAAAGCGUGGGGAGCAAACAGGAUUAGAUACCCUGGUAGUCCACGCCGUAAACGAUGAGUGCUAAGUGUUGGUCUCAUAAGAGAUCAGUGCUGCAGCUAACGCAUUAAGCACUCC